RNAcentral lists this transfer RNA (70 nucleotides) under Solegnathus hardwickii (Hardwicke's pipefish). RNAcentral's name for it is "tRNA-Phe". It matches the Rfam family "tRNA". Rfam says of the family: Transfer RNA (tRNA) molecules are approximately 80 nucleotides in length. Their secondary structure includes four short double-helical elements and three loops (D, anti-codon, and T loops). Lineage: Eukaryota; Metazoa; Chordata; Actinopteri; Syngnathiformes; Syngnathidae. The record is from RNAcentral.
GCUAUCGUAGCUUAAAACUAAAGCAUAACACUGAAGCUGUUAAGAAGAACCCUGGAAAGUUCCGAAAGCA